Molecule: ribosomal RNA, 512 nt
Filed under: uncultured bacterium
Lineage: Bacteria
Description: partial 16S ribosomal RNA
Rfam family: Bacterial small subunit ribosomal RNA
Source: RNAcentral
GAUGAACGCUGGCGGCGUGCCUAAUACAUGCAAGUCGAACGAAACUUCUUUAUCACCGAGUGCUUGCACUCACCGAUAAAGAGUUGAGUGUCGAACGGGUGAGUAACACGUGGGCAACCUGCCCAAAAGAGGGGGAUAACACUUGGAAACAGGUGCUAAUACCGCAUAACCAUAGUUACCGCAUGGUAACUAUGUAAAAGGUGGCUAUACUACCGCUUUUGGAUGGGCCCGCGGCGCAUUAGCUAGUUGGUAGGGUAAAGGCUUACCAAGGCAAUGAUGCGUAGCCGAAUUGAGAGGUUGAUCGGCCACAUUGGGACUGAGACACGGCCCAAACUCCUAAGGGAGGCAGCAGUAGGGAAUCUUCCACAAUGGGCGAAAGCCUGAUGGAGCAACGCCGCGUGGGUGAAGAAGGUCUUCGGAUCGUAAAACCCUGUUGUUAGAGAAGAAAGUGCGUGAGAGUAACUGUUCACGUUUCGACGGUAUCUAACCAGAAAGCCACGGCUAACUACGUG